This 719-nucleotide ribosomal RNA is filed under the name uncultured Pezizaceae. RNAcentral's name for it is "eukaryotic LSU rRNA". The stretch from base 219 to 719 matches the Rfam family "Eukaryotic large subunit ribosomal RNA", at positions 1 to 501 of the family's 3401-position model. Lineage: Eukaryota; Fungi; Ascomycota; Pezizomycetes; Pezizales; Pezizaceae. The record is from RNAcentral.
AUUANACCGGUCCNACCUGUAUGAGCGUUAACUCGCCAACAUUCNCUUCANUUGUNUGAUAAUGUCNGUNNUNAGUGGGAGAAGCUCCCCUGUCGAGGAGGUACCCUUCAGAAAUGAAUAUGGCAGUAUAGUUUAUAUUUGAACUAGGCGUAAUAAUAAUAUUGUCGCUGAGUUUAUCAUAUUUGUACUUGCCUGAACCCACCCAUUAUUAAAUCGGGUAACCUCAAAUCAGGUAGGGAUACCCGCUGAAUUAAGCAUAUCAAUAAGCGGAGGAAAAGAAACCAACAGGGAUUGCCCUAGUAACGGCGAGUGNAGCGGCAAAAGCUCAGAUUUGGAAUCUGGCGUCAUUGUGGCGUCCGAAGUUGUAGUCUGAAGAGGGGAAUUCAAGGAGCUUUGGCUUAAGUUCCUUGGAACAGGACGUAUAGAGGGUGAGAACCCCGUUAAUGGCCUUUGUCUUAUGCUUAUGUGAAUUCUCCUUCCUGAGUCGAGUUGUUUGGGAAUGCAGCUCUAAAUGGGUGGUAAAUUCCAUCUAAAGCUAAAUACUGGCAAGAGACCGAUAGCGCACAAGUAGAGUGAUCGAAAGAUGNAAAGAACUCUGAACAGAGAGUUAAAUAGUACGUGAAAUUGUUGAAAGGGAAGCACUUGUAACCAGACAUGCUUGCAGCUGAUCAAUUCUGAUUUUUGAGNAUACAUUCAGUCNUUAGCGAGCCAACAUCAGU